AGUAACGCGUGGGUAACCUGCCUUGUACUGGGGGACGAACAGUUGGAAACGACUGCUAAUACCGCAUAAGCGCACAGCUUCGCAUGAAGCAGCGUGAAAAACUCCGGUGGUACAAGAUGGACCCGCGUCUGAUUAGCUGGUUGGUGAGGUAACGGCUCACCAAGGCAACGAUCAGUAGCCGGCCUGAGAGGGUGAACGGCCACAUUGGGACUGAGACACGGCCCAA
RNAcentral lists this ribosomal RNA (226 nucleotides) under uncultured bacterium. Its description in RNAcentral is "partial 16S ribosomal RNA". It matches the Rfam family "Bacterial small subunit ribosomal RNA", at positions 109 to 334 of the family's 1533-position model. The record is from RNAcentral.